This 253-nucleotide ribosomal RNA is filed under the name uncultured bacterium. RNAcentral describes it as "partial 16S ribosomal RNA". It matches the Rfam family "Bacterial small subunit ribosomal RNA", at positions 524 to 776 of the family's 1533-position model. The record is from RNAcentral.
UACGUAGGGUGCAAGCGUUGUCCGGAAUUAUUGGGCGUAAAGAGCUCGUAGGCGGCUCGUCACGUCGGCUGUGAAAACCCAGGGCUCAACCCUGGGCCUGCAUUCGAUACGGGCAGACUAGAGUGUGGCAGGGGAGACUGGAAUUCCUGGUGUAGCGGUGAAAUGCGCAGAUAUCAGGAGGAACACCGGUGGCGAAGGCGGGUCUCUGGGCCAAUACUGACGCUGAGAAGCGAAAGCGUGGGGAGCGAACAGG